AGUCAGCUCUCUGGCUGGGAGAAGCCCGGCCGACCCGGUGGCGCUUCUCAGUGAAGGGGCGUCUCUGAGCCGAGACCUGCACUGCGAGAAUGAAAGGCCCGUGUAGAUCCUCAGGCCUGGACUUUCUCCUAGCCAGCCUCCCCUUUCAGGAUAAGUGCUGCCCUGAUCUCUGGUGGCUGCUUGGCCAUCAUUGUCACCGUGAUCACCAUCCUGGUUUACAAAAAACACAAGGAAUACAAACCAAUUAAAAGCAGUACUGAGAAGGUGGUCAAAAGCAAAGGCCUACAAGUCAUCCUCAACUACACAAAGGCCGUGUUCUUCCCGGGAAACCAGGAGAAGAACCCACUGCUCAAGGACCACGCACGAAUUCUUUAAGUCUUCAGCCUUAUUUCUGUCAGCACUCCACUCUUCAGUGCUGUUCAUGUGAACUGUACAGGAGCAGAUCACUGUUAGCUUUUUUCUGAAGAUUAUUAUAAAAUAUAUACCUGAUUUAGGGAGGUUGAAUUAAAUCACACUUUAGAGAAGUGAUAAGACAACUUAGCAGUGCUUCCUUUCCUGUUGCAAUUCAUGGAUAACAUUGUAGGUGAGCAGUAGCAUAGACAUCCUACCCCCCAAGAGUAGGGAGAAGGACUGUGCCUCAGACUCUGACCCAGGUUAAGUGGGAGGAGAGGCUGGGCACUUUCUAGCUGUCCAUAUAACUGUAUGCAUAACACCAGUGUAGUCCUGGCCUGAAGAGUAGGUUCCAGGCCAGCCGAAUCCCAUUUCGUGCAGAAGAGGCAGAGGCCUGACCCUUCUGUCCGAUGUGCAAACUUGUUAUACUCAGAAAACGAUGCUAAUCUGAUAAAACAUGUGUGAUGGGGACAACCUGCCCUGCCCAGCUGAGUGAAGGAAUGAUACUCCCUCGUUUACCCAUGGGCAUUUAUUUAGUGCUUUCACUAUACCAGAGCGGGUGCUAGGUACAUGGCCCUGCAUUCAGAGUGGGCACUUGGGUAUAUACCUGAAUUUCUGCACACUCUAGAUCACAGAUUUAGGAUCAUAAGUUUUGACUUUCUAACGGAGGGCCCUAGUUUUCCUACCAGUUUUUCUAUUUAAAUGAUAUGGAAACUUGAUCAGUGAGGAUUUUACCCCCAUCUGCAACUAAAAUCAUCUGUCAGAUGUUAGACAUGACAUUCUUUUGCUCCUCUUCCUGAAAAAUAAAUAUGGGAAGACACAACA
This is a long non-coding RNA of Fukomys damarensis (Damara mole-rat), 1215 nucleotides long. RefSeq lists it as uncharacterized. NCBI's taxonomy places the organism in Eukaryota, Metazoa, Chordata, Mammalia, Rodentia, Bathyergidae. The record is from RefSeq and is a predicted model, not a curated record. The transcript has 3 exons.